RNAcentral lists this ribosomal RNA (467 nucleotides) under uncultured bacterium. RNAcentral describes it as "partial 16S ribosomal RNA". It matches the Rfam family "Bacterial small subunit ribosomal RNA", at positions 28 to 507 of the family's 1533-position model. The record is from RNAcentral.
GACGAACGCUGGCGGCGUGCUUAACACAUGCAAGUCGAACGGAAAGGCUCCAGCUUGCUGGAGUACUCGAGUGGCGAACGGGUGAGUAACACGUGGGUAAUCUGCCCUGCACUCUGGGAUAAGCCCGGGAAACUGGGUCUAAUACUGGAUAUGACCUUUCUCCUUAUGGGGUUUGGUGGAAAGUUUUUCGGUGUAGGAUGAGCCCGCGGCCUAUCAGCUUGUUGGUGGGGUGAUGGCCUACCAAGGCGACGACGGGUAGCCGGCCUGAGAGGGUGAUCGGCCACAUUGGGACUGAGAUGCGGCCCAGACUCCUACGGGAGGCAGCAGUGGGGAAUAUUGCACAAUGGGCGGAAGCCUGAUGCAGCGACGCCGCGUGAGGGAUGACGGCCUUCGGGUUGUAAACCUCUUUCAGCAGGGACGAAGCGUAAGUGACGGUACCUGCAGAAGAAGCACCGGCUAACUACGUG